RNAcentral lists this ribosomal RNA (503 nucleotides) under uncultured bacterium. RNAcentral's name for it is "partial 16S ribosomal RNA". It matches the Rfam family "Bacterial small subunit ribosomal RNA", at positions 30 to 523 of the family's 1533-position model. The record is from RNAcentral.
AUUGAACGCUGGCGGCGGGCUUAACACAUGCAAGUCGAGCGGGGUGAUGGUGCUUGCACUAUCACUUAGCGGCGGACGGGUGAGUAAUGCUUAGGAAUCUGCCUAUUAGUGGGGGACAACAUCUCGAAAGGGAUGCUAAUACCGCAUACGUCCUACGGGAGAAAGCAGGGGAUCACUUGUGACAUUGCGCUAAUAGAUGAGCCUGAGUCGGCUCAGCUAGUUGGUGGGGUAAAGGCCUACCAAGGCGGCGAUCUGUAGCGGGUCUGAGAGGAUGAUCCGCCACACUGGGACUGAGACACGGCCCAGACUCCUACGGGAGGCAGCAGUGGGGAAUAUUGGACAAUGGGGGGAACCCUGAUCCAGCCAUGCCGCGUGUGUGAAGAAGGCCUUAUGGUUGUAAAGCACUUUAAGCGAGGAGGAGGCUCUUUUGGUUAAUACCCAAGAUGAGUGGACGUUACUCGCAGAAUAAGCACCGGCUAACUCUGUGCCAGCCGCCGCCGUAA